CCUACGGGAGGCAGCAGUGAGGAAUAUUGGUCAAUGGCCGGAAGGCUGAACCAGCCAUGCCGCGUGAAGGUCAGUGCCCUAUGGGCGUUAAACUUCUUUUGUGCGGGAGCAAUAAUGGUCACGUGUGGCCAGACGAGAGUACCGUACGAAUAAGCAUCGGCUAACUCCGUGCCAGCAGCCGCGGUUAUACGGGGGAGGCAAGCGUUAUCCGGAUUUUUUGGGUUUAAAGGGUGCGUAGGCUGGGAGGUAAGUCAGCGGUGAAAUGCCCCCGGUCAACGGGGUGAAGUGCCAUUGAUACUGGCUUGCUGGAAUGCGGAUGCGGUGGGAGGAAUGUGUGGUGUAGCGGUGAAAUGCAUAGAUAUCACACAGAACACCGAUUGCGAAGGCAUCUCACGAACCCGCGAUUGACGCUGAUGCACGAAAGCGUGGGUAUCAAACAGGAUUAGAUACCCUUGUAGUC
Molecule: ribosomal RNA, 460 nt
Filed under: uncultured bacterium
Lineage: Bacteria
Description: partial 16S ribosomal RNA
Rfam family: Bacterial small subunit ribosomal RNA
Source: RNAcentral